This 785-nucleotide long non-coding RNA is filed under the name Podarcis muralis (Common wall lizard). RNAcentral's name for it is "lncRNA (ENSPMRG00000012708.1)". Lineage: Eukaryota; Metazoa; Chordata; Lepidosauria; Squamata; Lacertidae. The record is from RNAcentral.
AGGGCGGCCCCAGGCGGAACGCCUCGCUUUGAGGUCCCGAGCCUCCCCACGAGGACACACUCCCACGACGACACUGUUCUGGGGAGCGGCCGUGAGGGUGGGGGAGAAGAGAGAGCAGCCUCGCGUGCUGAGCGAAGGCCUCUUCUCCCUCCGCCUCACGAUGUGUCCGCGUCCAACUCCAACCCUCGCGGCCCGUUUGAAAUCUCACGCGCAGGCGCGCAGGGCCUGCACAGGGCCCAGACCAAACGAGCGCUUCUCGUGACGGGCAGAACUCGCCUGUCCCGUCUCCCUCCCCAGCGCGGGAGGUGGCCCCCGUCUCCUUCCCGGCCCAGAAGGCGGGAACGAGGAGCCCACCUACCUGCAACCGCUUCAGCCCUCCCGCGAGGGGGUCAACCACAGAGAGCCCUCAGCGAGCCCUUCUUCCCGUCUUCCUCAGAAACAACCGCGGCCGAUGAGAAACUGCAACUGGCUGAGACUCCCACGUCCAGUGAAAACUUGUUGACAAAGCCAAGAUCUUCUGCCAGAUACUCCAUGAAACAGCAGUUAGGCAAUGUCUUCUUAGCUUUGCCAUUGCAGCUUAUCAUCUCGUAUUUCCUUUUUUUGGAAAGGCAUGUGGACUGAGUGGAACAAGUCCCAGCAUUCACUUUCUGAGCAAGUGAGGAAAAGUAAUUUGGGAACCAACUAGCCAUAAGUCUCAUGAGAUUAGAAAGCAGAAGCCCAGAGGUAGAAAGUCAGCAAGUAUUGAAGACUCUACAACUGUAGCAAAUCUGUUCUCUUCUGUUCUG